This 486-nucleotide ribosomal RNA is filed under the name uncultured bacterium. RNAcentral's name for it is "partial 16S ribosomal RNA". It matches the Rfam family "Bacterial small subunit ribosomal RNA", at positions 30 to 507 of the family's 1533-position model. The record is from RNAcentral.
AUUGAACGCUGGCGGCAUGCCUUACACAUGCAAGUCGAACGGCAGCGCGGACUUCGGUCUGGCGGCGAGUGGCGAACGGGUGAGUAAUACAUCGGAACGUACCCUGUUGUGGGGGAUAACUAGUCGAAAGAUUAGCUAAUACCGCAUACGACCUGAGGGUGAAAGUGGGGGACCGGAAACGGCCUCAUGCAGCAGGAGCGGCCGAUGUCUGAUUAGCUAGUUGGUAGGGUAAAGGCCCACCAAGGCGACGAUCAGUAGCUGGUCUGAGAGGACGAUCAGCCACACUGGGACUGAGACACGGCCCAGACUCCUACGGGAGGCAGCAGUGGGGAAUUUUGGACAAUGGGGGCAACCCUGAUCCAGCAAUGCCGCGUGUGUGAAGAAGGCCUUCGGGUUGUAAAGCACUUUUGUCCGGAAAGAAAUCGCGCUGGUUAAUACCUGGCGUGGAUGACGGUACCGGAAGAAUAAGCACCGGCUAACUACGUG